RNAcentral lists this ribosomal RNA (442 nucleotides) under uncultured bacterium. RNAcentral's name for it is "partial 16S ribosomal RNA". It matches the Rfam family "Bacterial small subunit ribosomal RNA", at positions 338 to 795 of the family's 1533-position model. The record is from RNAcentral.
CCUACGGGUGGCAGCAGUGGGGAAUAUUGGGCAAUGGGCGCAAGCCUGACCCAGCAACGCCGCGUGAAGGAAGAAGGCUUUCGGGUUGUAAAAUUCUUUUGACAGGGGAGAGAAGAAGACGGUACCUGUCGAAUAAGCCACGGCGAACUACGUGCGAGCAGCGGCGGUAAUACGUAGGUGGCAAGCGUUGUCCGGAUUUACGGGGUGUAAAGGGCGUGUAGCCGGGCUGACAAGUCUGAUGUGAAAUCCGGGGGCUCAACCCCCGAACUGCAUUUGAAACUGUUUGUCUUGAGUGUCGGAGAGGCAGGCGGAAUUCCUAGUGUAGCGGUGAAAUGCGUAGAUAUUAGGAGGAACUCCAGUGGCGAAGGCGGCCUGCUGGACGACAACUGACGGUGAGGCGCGAAGGCGUGGGUAGCGAACAGGAUUAGAUACCCUUGUAGUC